AGUUCCCACCCCCAACCACCCUCACUCAUCCCUCCUCUGGAGCCUCCUUCGCAAGUCCUUCCCUCCUCCCACAUCCAGUGUCCUCCCCUCAAGCUCGUUCCACUCUCGCCCCGUCCUCACCAGGAAUACCUGCCUUCCUAUCUCUGUCCGUCUCCAUUCCCUCUGAAUCUCCCACUCAUGAUCCCUCCUUCCUUGAUACAGCCCUCUGUUCAACCUAGCUCCCAGCUUUCUCCAGCCCCCCCCCCCCCAAAUAUUUUAUGCAUUCUCACUAGCCUUUCUACUUUCCUCCUUUUUUGCAGCGUGUCUCACCCCAGCUCCUUCAUCAUCACCGAUGGUCUGUGUGUUUCCCCCAUCCUGCCCCUCAAUUUCUUUCUCCACAUAGGGGUCCCAUACCGCCGCGGCACAUUCCAACACUGGCCUUACCAAUGUCGCAUAUGCCUUUUCCUUAACUUUCCUACCUAUCCCUUUCAGUGUCCUGCUAAGCAGCCCCAACCCCCUCCUGCCCUUCUUCACCACCUUCUUGACCUGUUUUCCCCACCCCAAGUCGCUCUGCAGGAUCACUCCCAGGUACUUAUAAUCCUCAGUUUCCUGGCUCACCUUUCCCUUCCUGUAGUACACUUUUCCCUCCACCCUUCUCUUCCUCGUGAACCUCGCCACCUUUGUCUUCCCUACGUUUAUCCCCAUUUAAUUUUCUCUCGCCCAGCACUCCAGUUUCUCCAAGUCCCUGCCAGGUGUGCGCCUUCCCCCACAGUUUCAUAGAGCACACAAUCGUCCGCAAACAACCGUAGCCUACUUUUCAACCCCUCCCCUACAUCAUUCAUCAUGAUCAGGAAGAGCAGGGGUCCCAUGACACUUCUCUGUGGUACCCCUGACGUAACAUUUCCCUCUUCUGACCAUUCCUUACCCACUCUCACUCGCUGGAUCCUGUCCCUCAAGAAGUCCCCUGUCCAAUUUACCACCCUCUUGUCCUCUAUAAAACCCUCCACCUUUUCCAUCACCCUCCUGCGGCACCCUGUCAAAACUCCUUCUCAAAAUCUAUAAACAUAGAGUCUACCUGCUUUCCCUCAUCCACUGCCUCCACCAAGUCCUCCAGCAGCCCCGUCAUCUGCGUUUCACAGGAGUAACCCCUCCGGAAGCCAUGCUGCCUCUCAUCCAUCCAGUCCCUUUCCUCCACCCUUUCUACUAUGUACCUCACUACCAGCCUCAGCUCCAUCACCUUGCCUACAUUUGACGUCAAGCUGACCGGCCUAUAGUUUGCCGGGUGUGCCUUAUUUCCACUCCCUUUAAAGAUGGGCACCACCACAGCCUCUUUCCACUGCCUUGGCAGCUGUCCCUCCUCCAGUGACUGUGCAUACAGUACUUGCAGAUACUUCUUGAUCACCUUUCCUCCCAGCUUGAGGUGCCUGUUUCCUAUCCCAUCUGGCCCAACCGCCUUCCUCACAUUCAGUCUCCUCAACUCCCUUAAUACAUCAUCCCUCUGAAUUUCCAACCCUCUCUCUCCCCCUGACUUCUCCCCUUGUGCUUCACACCAUACUCCCCCGUUUACAAAAACCGAUAAGUAUUGCUCCUGCAACAAACGAGCCUUUUCCAGGUCACUCACACACUCUUGCUCUUCUCUCCCCUUUAAUACCGGUAGUCCCUUCUCCCCCUUUACUCUCCUAACAUAUGGGUACAGAUCCGCCCAGUUUCCCUGCUCCCCUUUCUCCAUCAACCUUUCCAUGUACGCAUCCCUUGCUUCCCUAGUUUUCUUUCCCAGUUCCUUCGCCAGCUCCUUCAUUUCUGCGUUUAGCCCCUCCCCACCUCGCUUCUUGGCUCUUACGUGGAGCCUCCUGCACUUUCUCUUUAACACCUUUACCUCCCAUCCAUAGUAGGGCGGGUCGCCUCCCUUUCCUACCCUCCUUUGGGGUAUGAAGCACUCCACCAUUCGCUCCAAUAUGCCCCUCAAAGCCUCCCACUUCCCUUCUAGUUCUGCAAUCCCUUCCCACCUACAGAACUCCAUUUUAAGGAAUGCCUCUGCCCCCACUCUAUCCACCCUGCUCCACUGUCUUACUACUUCCUCCCUACUUUCCUUCACCUCCCUCCAUCCCAUAUCUAUCUCCACCACCGGGAUUGUGUGGUCGCUGAUGCCCUCCAUCACCGUAGUGCCUACUACUACCUCCACAGGCGUCACCAGCACCACAUCUAGCAGGUUCCCAGAUUCCUCUUGUCCUCCACCAUUCCUCAUCCUGGUGUUCUCCCCCACCACCUGCUCCAGUCCACUAUUUAUCAGUUGGGUUGCCCAUCUUUGCUCCCUCACCCCCAUUUCCUCUGGUCCUUGCUUCCACACCACCCCUGGCAUGUUUAGGUCCUCCGCCACUAUCACCCACCUAUCCUCCCUCAACAAUGACAGCCUGUCCUUUACCCCUUGUAUAACCGCCUCCCCUUGCCCUGGGGGCCUGUACACUGCCAGCAGCAUGAAGUCUUUCCCUUUCCCUUUUAUCUUCAAUUCCAUUAUUUCCACACUUUCCCCCACCCAUUCAUUCUCUCCUACUAGUCCCUCAUGCACACAUACCAUAAUCCCUCCUCCUGUCGUGUUUCUGUCCCUUCUAAAUAUUUCGUAGUUUGCCCCCUGCAGUUCUCCAUCCCCUAUUGCCUUGUCCAGCCACGUCUCUACUGCUAUGGCAAUGUCCACCCCAUAUGCUUCCACGACACUCCAGAACUCAUCCAACUUUCUAUAGACACUCCUACAGUUUAUCACUGCCACUCUCAUCCGUUUUCUUCCUUCAUUCACUUCCUCUUUUCUGAUCCCUCCACUCCACCUCCCUCCCUCUACCCUUUCCGCCCCCUCCAUUGGCAGUCCUAAUCUCUCCCCUUCCCCUAUCCGCUCCCUUUCCUUCCCCCCAAUUCUCCGUUUCCCAAAUGUUCCCCCCCUCCUACCACCGCCCUACGCAUUUUUACGACCUCCACCUCCAGGUACCUGGCUAGCUUUCCUUGCCCUCUCUGACUAAGAUGGAUGCCAUCCUUGCUGACAUCUUCCUCCCCUAGGUGGGUUCUCACGUUCACGUAUCUUGCUCCCAUCUUGUCACAAACUCCCUUCAUCUCCCUGUUGGCUUUCUCUAUCCGUCCUUACGGGACUCCUUUUCUUGGGAGAAUCCCAUGUACUACCAGGUCCGUCUCCUGGCCUCAUUUCCUUCUUAUUUCCCUCACAAGGUUUUCUAAUCCCUCCUUCACAUGCUCUACUCCCUCAUAAAUUACAUCGUUAGUUCCGCCCUGUAUUAUCACUGACCUCACAUUUCCUUCCCUCCUCAUGCUCCUUACCACCUCUGUCAAGUCUCCCAAUCUCCUUCCACCCAUAAAUGUUCUGUACACCUCCUCUCCAUGCCUCCUAACCCUAACCCCCCUCAACAUUGAGUCCCCAAUCAUGAAAAUUUUCUUCCGCUCUCCUUUUUCCUCCUUUACUCCUGCAAUCUCGCUUCUCCCCAACAGUUUCUUCCUCCUCACUAGGUCCAGCUCAUCACCCCUUUUCCUCUCCAUAUCUACUGUAACAAAUCCUUUCCCGCCCUUUUCCAGCCCCUCAGCAGCAUUCCCACCUGCUUCCAGGCCCCCAUUUCUCACCACAUCAGCCCAGUGGUCUCCUCUCACCCAUUUGUCUUUCCCACCAGUAUUUCUACCCACCACUCCCUCCUCCCUGUCCCUCAUCAACACUUCUGGUUUCCCAUCAUUUGUCCCCUGCCACACCCUCUUCCUGUCCCAGGUCCUGUACCCCCCCUGUGUUUUCCUCUGCUCCUCAAGGGACCUCAGUUAUUCCUCUAGAUUCCAAUGCCAGUCUCUUUCCCUGUGUCUAUCUCUUUCAGAGAGGAGGGUAAUGCAAAAAACAAACUCCACAUUGGUCAGGCAUGAUCCGGGAUUCUUAUCUAAUUACUGAGUUAAGGGAACUGGAUAUGAUGUUUCAUAGAGCAGUGUGGAGGAGGAGGGUGAAACAGUUAGUUAUGAUUUUUAAGGCGUUAAAAGGAGACAGAUGGAACCUAGGGUGUAACAGAGGGCAAACAUAUCAUGGGGGAAAGCUACAGAGGGAAUGUAGGCGAAUGGAUAGAAGGAAGCCCGCCUGCCUAUUGACAGGGAGGGAGUGGAAUGGGUUGGAAGAAGGGAUGCUGGGCGUGAGAAGUGCAAGGAAAGUGAGGAGACGACUAAAAGCAGUGGGGAGAGUUAGAAAAUGCGAAGACUCCAUGCCAGUGGGUGAAAGCCCAUUUAAGCCAAAAAUGUAAAACAAACAGAUUCCCGACUCGGACUUCCUGACGUUCGCCGAGUACAUGGGGGCAGCGAGUGGCAGCGCGCGGGCCUCGCUGGAGCGGCGCGCAGCGGGGAUCGUGGCGGCGGUGGAGAAGCGGCAGGAGCUGCUGGCAGGCGGCGCGGAGGCGGUGCAGGUGGAGCGAGACCACCCUGAGCUGAAGGUCGACACGACGUCGUACGAGCGAGCCAGGACUCUGCUGCAGUGUUUCCAAGAAGUGUAGGAUACUUGGUUGGUUUACUGUGAUCAAACAACAGUGAAAUUCUCCAACAAAGUUAAUCUGGUGUGUUCAAGACUUUUUUUUUUAAAUUCAAUUUUUAAUAAUUUACUAAAUCAGCCAAAAAAUUCUUAAUGUAAUUUAAAAGAAUGUCUCCUUUUUGAAGUGUAACAUCAGGCAGUUUUGUUAUUUUUGAUGUUGGAGAAAACCCUAGAAAAAUAAUUACAAAAGUGAAAAUACAAUGAAUAUAUUCUUUUAAAAAAUUGUGAUAUUGUGUAAGUUUUCAAGUUAGAACCAUCUACAGUGUACGUAGCUGUAUGUGAAAAAGUUUUCGUAAAUAUGUAGUUCGAAGUGCGUGUGCAAAAUAAAUUCCUUAAAAUUCAAUGAAAUAGGCUUUUUAAAAUGUUGUAUUUGCACUGCUAUUGGACGCAUGUUCAAUACCAUUCUAACAAAAGCACAAUCAAGGUUUUCAAAAGUAAAAAUAUUUUCAGGCUCUCACUUGAUCACUGUCCUUGGUUUUAGCAAUGGUGAUGAGUGUUGCUUGAUUGUCUUCUAGCUUUGCUUUCAACUAUUUACUCAAAGUAAGCAAAUUCACAGGUCUUAUAGUUUCAACUCUUCCCCAAUUGAAACAAUUUUUUUUUGUAAUUCCGACACUAAAUUAUUAUGAACAAUAAAUCUCUAUUUUAAAAAUUAAACACAUGGGAGUGAAAGUAUUGAAAAAGUCCUGAAAUAAACAUUUACAGUUCUAUAAGUCAUGUAACUUUAAUUUCCAUCUGCCUUUUGCUAACUUACAUUUUGUUUGUUGAUGCUUUACUUAAAUCAUGUGGAAAUUAUCUCAGAAAAGGUUUUAGCUUUGUAAUAUAAAAUUUGCAGGUUCUGCAAUUAGUAGAUCUAUUUUAUAUUAUGUUAGAUAUAAAUUUAUGUAUGUAUGAUAAAAAGUUGUAAGUAAUAAAAUUUUAUUAAAUGAUUAUUAAAAAGUACCAAAGUUGGUUCAUUGGGUAUUUGUAGACAUCUUGUGUUAUGUAGUACGUAUGUAUAAGUUUUCACCCUGCUCUUAUUUAUUAAUUUAUUUGAUAACAGUAAGCAUGUGUGCAGAUGUAAACAACAAACAUGUUCUGUUUUGAACUUGAAUUGAUGUUGUACUCAAGUAAUGAUUGGCUAUAAACGUUGUUGCUGUAUAGCGGAUGGUGCUGAUGGAAAAAACCUGUAAAAGUCAGGGAAAUAUCAGGAAAUUUCCUGGGUAGUCAGGCAGUUUUUUUUUUGUAAUGUUGAAGUGAUUGACAAUAUUAAAGUUAUAGCAGAGA
Bacillus rossius redtenbacheri is the source of this 5788-nucleotide RNA transcript. RefSeq lists it as uncharacterized. The transcript is spliced from 3 exons. NCBI's taxonomy places the organism in Eukaryota, Metazoa, Arthropoda, Insecta, Phasmatodea, Bacillidae. The record is from RefSeq and is a predicted model, not a curated record.